Rhineura floridana is the source of this 1260-nucleotide long non-coding RNA. RefSeq lists it as uncharacterized. The transcript is spliced from 3 exons. Lineage: Eukaryota; Metazoa; Chordata; Lepidosauria; Squamata; Rhineuridae. The record is from RefSeq and is a predicted model, not a curated record.
GCGAGAGGGAAGUCCGCCGCCGCGCACUCCCCUUUUCCCCGGCUGCAGCAGGAGGCCUCGCGCCGCCGAACAGGAUGUCUGUUGCCCAGCCGAGCGGCGCCCUGGCCCGACAAACGCCACUUGACCCCCCCCCGCGUCCACUAGGCCAGCAACGGGGGGGGGGAAGGCUCGCGCAGGCGGGCUCUCACCUUCGGCUGUCACACACACCCGCCUGGGCCUCAGCCACGCGUCGCUGGAGCGGGGAAAGGGAAAACGAGUCCGCAAACCCUCCGUCUUGUUUUUCUUCGCCGCUACCACUGCCGCUACCACCGCCACAGCAGCUGCAGCAGCCGUCCUACUUCCUUCGCCUCAGCCCCAGCUAGGAGCCUGAGCCCAGCAAGGCUGGCUUCCCUCCCAGCUCGCCUCUCGCCCCGCCUCCUCUCCCUCACCCCUGCCAACCCGCUCCGGGCCUUGGGGACCAAAGCGCCGCCUACCCGUCCGGCUAGGCUGUUACGCCGGCUUGCUGCUGCUGCUGCUCCUGCCGCAGCUGUUGUCUUCUCCUCAGGCUCGGCGGUUCCCGCUUGCCUCCCUGCCUGCCGAAAAUGUCCCACUUGCUGCAGCUGCAGGGCGCCCGUCGCGGUCCAUUCCCCUCAGGUCAGGUGCUGAUGCUGAGAAAAAAUAGCCGGCCAUUGACCCUGAGAAGAGCUGGCAGGAGCGAGGCUGGGGGAGAAAGCUGCCUGAAAUGUACACACCUGCCCCCCUACCUUCAUCUCUAAAUCGGGUGCAGCCCUCCAGAUGCUUUUGGACUCCAACUCCCAGGAGCUUCAGCCAACAUGGACAAUGGCCAGGGACAAGAACAUAAAAAGAGCCCUGCUGAAUCAGUCCAGGGAUGCCUAGAGGCUACAUUCCCGUUCUCACAAUGGCCUAUGGGAAGCCCACAAGCAGGACACAGGUCACAGCAACCCUCUUCCCACAUAUAAUUCCCAGCAACUGGCUAGCAGAGGCAUUUCUGCCCCCGACACUGGAGGUAGUACAUAGCCUUGUCCACCCACAGCCUCACCCCUCAUCUUCCUCCUGAUGCUGCUGGCCAAGCAUACCAUAGUGAAGUUCUCUUUUUGGUAAAAAUCGACAAGAAGAAGAAGAAAAAGAAAAAGAAGAAUGUCCACUAUGUCUACUCAACAUAGACAGGUUUCAGAAAUCCAACAUCUCCAGACUCCACAAUUCCUGAGCAUUUUCUAGGCUGAUAAUUGGGUAUCUGAAUUUUUGCAAGCACUUAGUAAA